CUUUUUCUCCUAUCUUACUCUGUUGAUUUCCAAUUAGGGCAGCCCGGUACACUAAACUGCCACUAUGCUCGGGGUCCGGGGAAGAGACAGACCACAAGGGGUAUAUUGUAUAGGCUAUUUUCACGGCUCGAACCGGGAUCUCCUGGCUGCAAUUUUACCAGUUACACCAACCGAGGGUCUUCCGGAAACAGCUUCCCUCCCUAAGGUAGGGGUAAGGUUUGCGUACAAUCUACCCUCCCCAGACCCCACAUUGUGGGACUCACUGGGUGUGUUGUUGUUGUUGUUGUUGUACUUGUUUGAUACCCUUCCCAGACUCCACUUGUAGGAUUACACUGGAUAUGUUGUUGUUAUUGUUGUUAUUUCUUUAUACCUGUAUUUUGAGAAGCAUGACAAUGGGUUCUGUUUAUUUGCUCAACAUUUUUCCUUUAGACCGUCUAUAAUAAUGAAUGAUGAUGGUGACUGUGUUUCUAUUGGAGCUAGGCUCUUUAUUAAAUAAAUGGAGGUAAUAAAUUGUUGAAUCUUAUUAAUAAU
Molecule: long non-coding RNA, 531 nt
Organism: Lycium ferocissimum
Lineage: Eukaryota; Viridiplantae; Streptophyta; Magnoliopsida; Solanales; Solanaceae
Exons: 2
Source: RefSeq, a predicted model, not a curated record